CUACGGGUGGCACCAGUGAGGAAUAUUGCGCAAUGGGGGCAACCCUGACGCAGCGACGCCGCGUGGAUGAUGAAGGCCUUCGGGUCGUAAAAUCCUGUCAGAUGGAAAGAAGUGCGAGGUGGUUAAUACCCAUUUCGUUUGACGGUACCAUCAGAGGAAGCACCGGCUAACUCCGUGCCAGCAGCCGCGGUAAUACGGAGGGUGCAAGCGUUGUUCGGAAUUACUGGGCGUAAAGCGCGCGUAGGCGGUUUGUUAAGUCAGAUGUGAAAGCCCACGGCUCAACCGUGGACGUGCAUUUGAACUGGCAGACUUGAGUAUUGGAGGGGGUGGUGGAAUUCCCGGUGUAGAGGUGAAAUUCGUAGAUAUCGGGAGGAAUACCGGUGGCGAAGGCGACCACCUGGCCAAAUACUGACGCUGAGGUGCGAAAGCGUGGGGAGCAAACAGGAUUAGAUACCCCUGUAAUC
RNAcentral lists this ribosomal RNA (464 nucleotides) under uncultured bacterium. RNAcentral's name for it is "partial 16S ribosomal RNA". It matches the Rfam family "Bacterial small subunit ribosomal RNA", at positions 339 to 795 of the family's 1533-position model. The record is from RNAcentral.